AACGCGAAGAACCUUACCUGGGCUCGAAGUGUAGAGGACGAUAUCAGAAAUGAUAUCUCUCGAAAGAGCUUUUACAUAGGUGCUGCAUGGCUGUCGUCAGCUCGUGCCGUGAGGUGUUUGGUUAAGUCCAGCAACGAGCGCAACCCUUAUCAUUAGUUGCCAACAUUUUAGGUGGGGACUCUAAUGAGACUGCCUGGGUUAACCAGGAGGAAGGUGAGGAUGACGUCAAGUCCGCAUGGCCUUUAUGUCCAGGGCUACACACGUGCUACAAUGGUCGGUACAGAAGGCAGCGAAACCGCGAGGUGGAGCAAAUCCCCAAAGCCGAUCCCAGUUCAGAUUGUAGUCUGCAACUCGACUACAUGAAGUUGGAAUUGCUAGUAAUGGCGUGUCAGCAACAACGCCGUGAAUACGUUCCCGGGCCUUGUA
This 426-nucleotide ribosomal RNA is filed under the name uncultured Chlamydiae bacterium. RNAcentral's name for it is "bacterial SSU rRNA". It matches the Rfam family "Bacterial small subunit ribosomal RNA", at positions 958 to 1385 of the family's 1533-position model. The record is from RNAcentral. Lineage: Bacteria; Pseudomonadati; Chlamydiota; Chlamydiia.